AUGCCUAACACAUGCAAGUCGAACGCUAUUUAUAGAGUGGCGCACGGGUGAGUAACGCGUGGGAACCUGCCUUUCUCUGCGGGAUAACGGUUGGAAACGACCGCUAAUACCGCAUACGCCCUACGGGGGAAAGGUCCGCCGGAGAAAGAGGGGCCCGCGUCUGAUUAGCUUGUUGGUAGGGUAAUGGCCUACCAAGGCGACGAUCAGUAGCUGGUCUGAGAGGAUGAUCAGCCACACUGGGACUGAGACACGGCCCAGACUCCUACGGGAGGCAGCAGUGGGGAAUAUUGGACAAUGGGCGAAAGCCUGAUCCAGCAAUGCCGCGUGUGUGAAGAAGGCCUGCGGGUUGUAAAGCACUUUCAGUUGGGAAGAUGAUGACGUUACCAACAGAAGAAGCACCGGCUAAAUCCGUGCCAGCAGCCGCGGUAAUACGGAUGGUGCGAGCGUUAAUCGGAAUUACUGGGCGUAAAGCGCGCGUAGGCGG
This 484-nucleotide ribosomal RNA is filed under the name uncultured Alphaproteobacteria bacterium. RNAcentral's name for it is "bacterial SSU rRNA". It matches the Rfam family "Bacterial small subunit ribosomal RNA", at positions 44 to 578 of the family's 1533-position model. Lineage: Bacteria; Pseudomonadati; Pseudomonadota; Alphaproteobacteria. The record is from RNAcentral.